Molecule: ribosomal RNA, 466 nt
Filed under: uncultured bacterium
Lineage: Bacteria
Description: bacterial SSU rRNA
Rfam family: Bacterial small subunit ribosomal RNA
Source: RNAcentral
GAGCCCGCACAAGCGGUGGAUUAUGUGGUUUAAUUCGAAGCAACGCGCAGAACCUUACCUAGGUUUGACAUCCUUUGACAAUGCUAGAGAUAGCACUUUCGUAGCAAUACGACAAAGAGACAGGUGCUGCAUGGCUGUCGUCAGCUCGUGUGGUGGCAUGUCGGGUUAAGUCCCUCAACGAGCGCAACCCCUAUGUUUAGUUGCCAGCAUUAAGUUGGGCACUCUAGACAGACUGCCGUGGUUAACACGGAGGAAGGCGGGGAUGACGUCAAGUCCUCAUGGCCCUUACAUCUAGGGCGACACACGUAAUACAAUGGUUGAUACAGAGGGAAGCGAAAUGGUGACAUGGAGCAAAUCUCAAAAAGUCAAUCUCAGUUCGGAUUGGAGUCUGCAACUCGACUCCAUGAAGGCGGAAUCGCUAGUAAUCGCGGAUCAGCACGCCGCGGUGAAUACGUUCCCGGGCUUU